Molecule: ribosomal RNA, 549 nt
Filed under: uncultured bacterium
Lineage: Bacteria
Description: bacterial SSU rRNA
Rfam family: Bacterial small subunit ribosomal RNA
Source: RNAcentral
GCCGUGGGGGAGCGAACCAGGAUUUAGAUACCCCUGGUUAGUCCCCCGCCCGUAAACCGAUGUUAUACUAGGGUCGCGGAGGGUUUCUGACACCCGUCGCCGGUCGUAGGCAAAAGGUGUUAAAGUAUACCCGCCUGGGGAGUACCGGUCCGCAAGGGCUAAAACUCCAAAGGAAUUGACGGGGGCUCCACACAAGGCGGUGGAGCCAUGUGGAUUAAUUCGAAGCAACGCGCAGAACCUUACCUGGGUUUGACAUGUAUGGAUGCCUAUCUGGAAACAGAGUCGGCUGCCCUCCGGGUGAAACUUACACAGGUGCUGCAUGGCUGUCGUCAGCUCGUGUCGUGAGAUGUCGGGUUAAGUCCUUUAACGAGCGAAACCCUUACUGUUAGUUGCCAGCGCGUCCAUGGCGGGGACUCUAGCGGGACUGCCCGGUGUUAAACCGGAGGAAGGCGGGGAUGACGUCCAAGUCCCUCCAUGGCCUUUAUGCCCAGGGCUUCACACGUGCUGCAAUGGCAGUUACAAAGCGACGCGAUACCGCGAGGUGGAGCA